ACGAUAUGCUUUGGGGAGCUGUAAGUAAGCUUUGAUCCAGAGAUUUCCGAAUGGGGAAACCCAGCAUGAGUUAUGUCAUGUUAUCGAUAUGUGAAUACAUAGCAUAUCAGAAGGCACACCCGGAGAACUGAAACAUCUUAGUACCCGGAGGAAGAGAAAGAAAAUUCGAUUCCCUUAGUAGCGGCGAGCGAAACGGGAAGAGCCCAAACCAACAAGCUUGCUUGUUGGGGUUGUAGGACACUCUAUACGGAGUUACAAAGGACGACAUUAGACGAAUCAUCUGGAAAGAUGAAUCAAAGAAGGUAAUAAUCCUGUAGUCGAAAAUGUUGUCUCUCUUGAGUGGAUCCUGAGUACGACGGAGCACGUGAAAUUCCGUCGGAAUCUGGGAGGACCAUCUCCUAAGGCUAAAUACUCUCUAGUGACCGAUAGUGAACCAGUACCGUGAGGGAAAGGUGAAAAGCACCCCGGAAGGGGAGUGAAAUAGAACCUGAAACCGUGUGCUUACAAGUAGUCAGAGCCCGUUAAUGGGUGAUGGCGUGCCUUUUGUAGAAUGAACCGGCGAGUUACGAUUUGAUGCAAGGUUAAGCAGUAAAUGUGGAGCCGUAGCGAAAGCGAGUCUGAAUAGGGCGUUUAGUAUUUGGUCGUAGACCCGAAACCAGGUGAUCUACCCUUGGUCAGGUUGAAGUUCAGGUAACACUGAAUGGAGGACCGAACCGACUUACGUUGAAAAGUGAGCGGAUGAACUGAGGGUAGCGGAGAAAUUCCAAUCGAACCUGGAGAUAGCUGGUUCUCUCCGAAAUAGCUUUAGGGCUAGCCUCAAGUGAUGAUUAUUGGAGGUAGAGCACUGUUUGGACGAGGGGCCCCUCUCGGGUUACCGAAUUCAGACAAACUCCGAAUGCCAAUUAAUUUAACUUGGGAGUCAGAACAUGGGUGAUAAGGUCCGUGUUCGAAAGGGAAACAGCCCAGACCACCAGCUAAGGUCCCAAAAUAUAUGUUAAGUGGAAAAGGAUGUGGCGUUGCCCAGACAACUAGGAUGUUGGCUUAGAAGCAGCCAUCAUUUAAAGAGUGCGUAAUAGCUCACUAGUCGAGUGACACUGCGCCGAAAAUGUACCGGGGCUAAACAUAUUACCGAAGCUGUGGAUUGUCCUUUGGACAAUGGUAGGAGAGCGUUCUAAGGGCGUUGAAGCAUGAUCGUAAGGACAUGUGGAGCGCUUAGAAGUGAGAAUGCCGGUGUGAGUAGCGAAAGACGGGUGAGAAUCCCGUCCACCGAUUGACUAAGGUUUCCAGAGGAAGGCUCGUCCGCUCUGGGUUAGUCGGGUCCUAAGCUGAGGCCGACAGGCGUAGGCGAUGGAUAACAGGUUGAUAUUCCUGUACCACCUAUAAUCGUUUUAAUCGAUGGGGGGACGCAGUAGGAUAGGCGAAGCGUGCGAUUGGAUUGCACGUCUAAGCAGUAAGGCUGAGUAUUAGGCAAAUCCGGUACUCGUUAAGGCUGAGCUGUGAUGGGGAGAAGACAUUGUGUCUUCGAGUCGUUGAUUUCACACUGCCGAGAAAAGCCUCUAGAUAGAAAAUAGGUGCCCGUACCGCAAACCGACACAGGUAGUCAAGAUGAGAAUUCUAAGGUGAGCGAGCGAACUCUCGUUAAGGAACUCGGCAAAAUGACCCCGUAACUUCGGGAGAAGGGGUGCUCUUUAGGGUUAACGCCCAGAAGAGCCGCAGUGAAUAGGCCCAAGCGACUGUUUAUCAAAAACACAGGUCUCUGCUAAACCGUAAGGUGAUGUAUAGGGGCUGACGCCUGCCCGGUGCUGGAAGGUUAAGAGGAGUGGUUAGCUUCUGCGAAGCUACGAAUCGAAGCCCCAGUAAACGGCGGCCGUAACUAUAACGGUCCUAAGGUAGCGAAAUUCCUUGUCGGGUAAGUUCCGACCCGCACGAAAGGCGUAACGAUUUGG
Molecule: ribosomal RNA, 1946 nt
Filed under: Megasphaera sp.
Lineage: Bacteria; Bacillati; Bacillota; Negativicutes; Veillonellales; Veillonellaceae
Description: partial 23S ribosomal RNA
Rfam family: Bacterial large subunit ribosomal RNA
Source: RNAcentral